CCUACGGGCGGCUGCAGUGGGGGAUAUUGCACAAUGGGGGGAACCCUGAUGCAGCGACGCCGCGUGGGUGAAGAAGCGCCUCGGCGCGUAAAGCCCUGUCAGCAGGGAAGAAAAUGACGGUACCUGAAGAAGAAGCCCCGGCUAACUACGUGCCAGCAGCCGCGGGAAUACGUAGGGGGCAAGCGUUAUCCGGAUUUACUGGGUGUAAAGGGGGCGCAGACGGCGAUGCAAGCCAGGAGUGAAAGCCCGGGGCCCAACCCCGGGACUGCUAUUGGAACUGCGUGGCUGGAGUGCAGGAGGGGCAGGCGGAAUUCCUGGUGUAGCGGUGAAAUGCGUAGAUAUCAGGAGGAACACCGGUGGCGAAGGCGGCCUGCUGGACUGCAACUGACGUUGAGGCCCGAAAGCGUGGGGAGCAAACAGGAUUAGAUACCCGUGUAGUC
This 440-nucleotide ribosomal RNA is filed under the name uncultured bacterium. RNAcentral's name for it is "partial 16S ribosomal RNA". It matches the Rfam family "Bacterial small subunit ribosomal RNA", at positions 338 to 795 of the family's 1533-position model. The record is from RNAcentral.